RNAcentral lists this ribosomal RNA (2901 nucleotides) under Escherichia coli E101. RNAcentral's name for it is "bacterial LSU rRNA". It matches the Rfam family "Bacterial large subunit ribosomal RNA". Lineage: Bacteria; Pseudomonadati; Pseudomonadota; Gammaproteobacteria; Enterobacterales; Enterobacteriaceae. The record is from RNAcentral.
UUAAGCGACUAAGCGUACACGGUGGAUGCCCUGGCAGUCAGAGGCGAUGAAGGACGUGCUAAUCUGCGAUAAGCGUCGGUAAGGUGAUAUGAACCGUUAUAACCGGCGAUUUCCGAAUGGGGAAACCCAGUGUGUUUCGACACACUAUCAUUAACUGAAUCCAUAGGUUAAUGAGGCGAACCGGGGGAACUGAAACAUCUAAGUACCCCGAGGAAAAGAAAUCAACCGAGAUUCCCCCAGUAGCGGCGAGCGAACGGGGAGGAGCCCAGAGCCUGAAUCAGUGUGUGUGUUAGUGGAAGCGUCUGGAAAGGCGCGCGAUACAGGGUGACAGCCCCGUACACAAAAAUGCACAUACUGUGAGCUCGAUGAGUAGGGCGGGACACGUGGUAUCCUGUCUGAAUAUGGGGGGACCAUCCUCCAAGGCUAAAUACUCCUGACUGACCGAUAGUGAACCAGUACCGUGAGGGAAAGGCGAAAAGAACCCCGGCGAGGGGAGUGAAAAAGAACCUGAAACCGUGUACGUACAAGCAGUGGGAGCCUCUUUUAUGGGGUGACUGCGUACCUUUUGUAUAAUGGGUCAGCGACUUAUAUUCUGUAGCAAGGUUAACCGAAUAGGGGAGCCGAAGGGAAACCGAGUCUUAACUGGGCGUUAAGUUGCAGGGUAUAGACCCGAAACCCGGUGAUCUAGCCAUGGGCAGGUUGAAGGUUGGGUAACACUAACUGGAGGACCGAACCGACUAAUGUUGAAAAAUUAGCGGAUGACUUGUGGCUGGGGGUGAAAGGCCAAUCAAACCGGGAGAUAGCUGGUUCUCCCCGAAAGCUAUUUAGGUAGCGCCUCGUGAAUUCAUCUCCGGGGGUAGAGCACUGUUUCGGCAAGGGGGUCAUCCCGACUUACCAACCCGAUGCAAACUGCGAAUACCGGAGAAUGUUAUCACGGGAGACACACGGCGGGUGCUAACGUCCGUCGUGAAGAGGGAAACAACCCAGACCGCCAGCUAAGGUCCCAAAGUCAUGGUUAAGUGGGAAACGAUGUGGGAAGGCCCAGACAGCCAGGAUGUUGGCUUAGAAGCAGCCAUCAUUUAAAGAAAGCGUAAUAGCUCACUGGUCGAGUCGGCCUGCGCGGAAGAUGUAACGGGGCUAAACCAUGCACCGAAGCUGCGGCAGCGACACUAUGUGUUGUUGGGUAGGGGAGCGUUCUGUAAGCCUGUGAAGGUGUGCUGUGAGGCAUGCUGGAGGUAUCAGAAGUGCGAAUGCUGACAUAAGUAACGAUAAAGCGGGUGAAAAGCCCGCUCGCCGGAAGACCAAGGGUUCCUGUCCAACGUUAAUCGGGGCAGGGUGAGUCGACCCCUAAGGCGAGGCCGAAAGGCGUAGUCGAUGGGAAACAGGUUAAUAUUCCUGUACUUGGUGUUACUGCGAAGGGGGGACGGAGAAGGCUAUGUUGGCCGGGCGACGGUUGUCCCGGUUUAAGCGUGUAGGCUGGUUUUCCAGGCAAAUCCGGAAAAUCAAGGCUGAGGCGUGAUGACGAGGCACUACGGUGCUGAAGCAACAAAUGCCCUGCUUCCAGGAAAAGCCUCUAAGCAUCAGGUAACAUCAAAUCGUACCCCAAACCGACACAGGUGGUCAGGUAGAGAAUACCAAGGCGCUUGAGAGAACUCGGGUGAAGGAACUAGGCAAAAUGGUGCCGUAACUUCGGGAGAAGGCACGCUGAUAUGUAGGUGAAGCGACUUGCUCGUGGAGCUGAAAUCAGUCGAAGAUACCAGCUGGCUGCAACUGUUUAUUAAAAACACAGCACUGUGCAAACACGAAAGUGGACGUAUACGGUGUGACGCCUGCCCGGUGCCGGAAGGUUAAUUGAUGGGGUCAGCGCAAGCGAAGCUCUUGAUCGAAGCCCCGGUAAACGGCGGCCGUAACUAUAACGGUCCUAAGGUAGCGAAAUUCCUUGUCGGGUAAGUUCCGACCUGCACGAAUGGCGUAAUGAUGGCCAGGCUGUCUCCACCCGAGACUCAGUGAAAUUGAACUCGCUGUGAAGAUGCAGUGUACCCGCGGCAAGACGGAAAGACCCCGUGAACCUUUACUAUAGCUUGACACUGAACAUUGAGCCUUGAUGUGUAGGAUAGGUGGGAGGCUUAGAAGUGUGGACGCCAGUCUGCAUGGAGCCGACCUUGAAAUACCACCCUUUAAUGUUUGAUGUUCUAACGUUGACCCGUGAUCCGGGUUGCGGACAGUGUCUGGUGGGUAGUUUGACUGGGGCGGUCUCCUCCUAAAGAGUAACGGAGGAGCACGAAGGUUGGCUAAUCCUGGUCGGACAUCAGGAGGUUAGUGCAAUGGCAUAAGCCAGCUUGACUGCGAGCGUGACGGCGCGAGCAGGUGCGAAAGCAGGUCAUAGUGAUCCGGUGGUUCUGAAUGGAAGGGCCAUCGCUCAACGGAUAAAAGGUACUCCGGGGAUAACAGGCUGAUACCGCCCAAGAGUUCAUAUCGACGGCGGUGUUUGGCACCUCGAUGUCGGCUCAUCACAUCCUGGGGCUGAAGUAGGUCCCAAGGGUAUGGCUGUUCGCCAUUUAAAGUGGUACGCGAGCUGGGUUUAGAACGUCGUGAGACAGUUCGGUCCCUAUCUGCCGUGGGCGCUGGAGAACUGAGGGGGGCUGCUCCUAGUACGAGAGGACCGGAGUGGACGCAUCACUGGUGUUCGGGUUGUCAUGCCAAUGGCACUGCCCGGUAGCUAAAUGCGGAAGAGAUAAGUGCUGAAAGCAUCUAAGCACGAAACUUGCCCCGAGAUGAGUUCUCCCUGACCCUUUAAGGGUCCUGAAGGAACGUUGAAGACGACGACGUUGAUAGGCCGGGUGUGUAAGCGCAGCGAUGCGUUGAGCUAACCGGUACUAAUGAACCGUGAGGCUUAACCUU